RNAcentral lists this ribosomal RNA (253 nucleotides) under uncultured bacterium. Its description in RNAcentral is "partial 16S ribosomal RNA". It matches the Rfam family "Bacterial small subunit ribosomal RNA", at positions 524 to 776 of the family's 1533-position model. The record is from RNAcentral.
UACAGAGGUGGCAAGCGUUGUUCGGAAUUACUGGGCGUAAAGGGCGCGUAGGCGGCUUGGUCAGUCCCGUGUGAAAUCCCUCGGCUCAACUGAGGAACUGCACGGGAAACUGCCUGGCUUGAGUUCGGGAGAGGGAAGCGGAAUUCCUGGUGUAGCGGUGAAAUGCGCAGAUAUCAGGAGGAACACCGGUGGCGAAGGCGGGUCUCUGGGCCGAUACUGACGCUGAGGAGCGAAAGCGUGGGGAGCGAACAGG